This 85-nucleotide transfer RNA is filed under the name Lentisphaerota bacterium. RNAcentral describes it as "Lentisphaerae bacterium (freshwater metagenome) tRNA-Leu". It matches the Rfam family "tRNA". From Rfam's summary of the family: Transfer RNA (tRNA) molecules are approximately 80 nucleotides in length. Their secondary structure includes four short double-helical elements and three loops (D, anti-codon, and T loops). Lineage: Bacteria; Pseudomonadati; Lentisphaerota. The record is from RNAcentral.
GGGCGAGUGGUGGAAUUGGCAGACACGCAAGACUUAGGAUCUUGUGGCGCAAGCCGUGCGGGUUCAAGUCCCGCCCCGCCCACCA